Molecule: ribosomal RNA, 732 nt
Filed under: uncultured bacterium
Lineage: Bacteria
Description: bacterial SSU rRNA
Rfam family: Bacterial small subunit ribosomal RNA
Source: RNAcentral
UGGCGGCAGGCCUAACACAUGCAAGUCGAGCGGUAGAGAGAAGCUUGCUUCUCUUGAGAGCGGCGGACGGGUGAGUAAUACCUAGGAAUCUGCCUGAUAGUGGGGGAUAACGUUCGGAAACGGACGCUAAUACCGCAUACGUCCUACGGGAGAGAGCAGGGGACCUUCGGGCCUUGCGCUAUCAGAUGAGCCUAGGUCGGAUUAGCUAGUUGGUGAGGUAAUGGCUCACCAAGGCUACGAUCCGUAACUGGUCUGAGAGGAUGAUCAGUCACACUGGAACUGAGACACGGUCCAGACUCCUACGGGAGGCAGCAGUGGGGAAUAUUGGACAAUGGGCGAAAGCCUGAUGCAGCCAUGCCGCGUGUGUGAAGAAGGUCUUCGGAUUGUAAAGCACUUUAAGUUGGGAGGAAGGGCAGUUACCUAAUACGUGACUGUCUUGACGUUACCGACAGAAUAAGCACCGGCUAACUCUGUGCCAGCAGCCGCGGUAAUACAGAGGGUGCAAGCGUUAAUCGGAAUUACUGGGCGUAAAGCGCGCGUAGGUGGUUUGUUAAGUUGAAUGUGAAAUCCCCGGGCUCAACCUGGGAACUGCAUCCAAAACUGGCAAGCUAGAGUAUGGUAGAGGGUAGUGGAAUUUCCUGUGUAGCGGUGAAAUGCGUAGAUAUAGGAAGGAACACCAGUGGCGAAGGCGACUACCUGGACUGAUACUGACACUGAGGUGCGAAAGCGUGG